GAUGAACGCUGGCGGCGUGCCUAAUACAUGCGAGGCGAGCGAACGGACGAGAAGCGUGCUUCUCUGAUGUUAGCGGCGGACGGGUGAGUAACACGGGGAUAACCUACCUAUAAGACGGGGAGAACGUCGGGAAACCGGAGCUAAUACCGGAUAAGAUUUUGAACCGCAUGGUUCAAAAGUGAAAGACGGUCUUGCUGGCACGUAUAGAUGGAUCCGCGCUGCAUUAGCUAGUUGGUAAGGUAACGGCUUACCAAGGCAACGAUGCAUAGCCGACCUGCGAGGGUGAUGCUCCCCAGUGGCCCUCCCCACCCGUCCCCCCUCCUACGGUCUGCCUCGUUCGUGCCUCUUCCGCAAUGGGCGCCCGCCUGACGGCGCACCGCCGCGUGAGUGAUGAAGCUCUUCUGCUCGUACAACUCUGUUAUUAGGGAACAACCUCUUUGUAAGUAACUGUGCACAUCUUGACGGUACCUAAUCAGAAAGCCACGGCUAACUACGUG
Molecule: ribosomal RNA, 497 nt
Filed under: uncultured bacterium
Lineage: Bacteria
Description: partial 16S ribosomal RNA
Rfam family: Bacterial small subunit ribosomal RNA
Source: RNAcentral